RNAcentral lists this ribosomal RNA (436 nucleotides) under uncultured bacterium. RNAcentral's name for it is "partial 16S ribosomal RNA". It matches the Rfam family "Bacterial small subunit ribosomal RNA", at positions 29 to 507 of the family's 1533-position model. The record is from RNAcentral.
AACGAACGCUGGCGGCAUGCCUAACACAUGCAAGUCGAACGAAAACCUUCGGGGUCUAUUGGCUCACCGGUGCGUAACGCGUGGGAAUCUGCCCUUGUGUUCUGCCUAACAGUUAGAAAUGACUUCUAAUACCGGAUGAUAACGUUAAGUCCAAAGUUUUAUCGCCUGGGGAUGAUCCCUCGUAGGCUUGGCUUGUUGGUGUGGUAAAGGUACACCAAGGCGACGAUGCUUAGCUGGUCUGAUAGGCGGAUCAGCUACACUGGGACUGAGACACGGACCAGACCCGGACGGGAGGGAGCAGUGGGGAAUAUAGUACAAGGGAGGCAAGUCUGACACAGCAAUGCGGGGGGAGUGAUGAAUGGGUUAGGGUUGUACAGCCGUUUGACACGGGAUGAUAAUGACAGUACCGGGAGAAGAAGCCCCGGCUAACUCCGUG